Molecule: ribosomal RNA, 237 nt
Filed under: Staphylococcus epidermidis
Lineage: Bacteria; Bacillati; Bacillota; Bacilli; Caryophanales; Staphylococcaceae
Description: partial 23S ribosomal RNA
Rfam family: Bacterial large subunit ribosomal RNA
Source: RNAcentral
AUAGAUUAAGUUAUUAAGGGCGCACGGUGGAUGCCUUGGCACUAGAAGCCGAUGAAGGACGUUACUAACGACGAUAUGCUUUGGGUAGCUGUAAGUAAGCGUUGAUCCAGAGAUUUCCGAAUGGGGGAACCCAGCAUGAGUUAUGUCAUGUUAUCGACAUGUGAAUUCAUAGCAUGUCAGAAGGCAGACCCGGAGAACUGAAACAUCUUAGUACCCGGAGGAAGAGAAAGAAAAAUC